GCUUGGUUAGUGUAGCGGUUAUCACUUCGGAUUCUGAUGCAGAAAUCUCCUACAGCUUCCGACAACCCUGGUUCGAUUCCAGGAUCGAGGG
This 91-nucleotide transfer RNA is filed under the name Copromyces sp. CBS 386.78. RNAcentral's name for it is "tRNA-Gln". It matches the Rfam family "tRNA". Rfam says of the family: Transfer RNA (tRNA) molecules are approximately 80 nucleotides in length. Their secondary structure includes four short double-helical elements and three loops (D, anti-codon, and T loops). Further hydrogen bonds mediate the characteristic L-shaped molecular structure. tRNAs have two regions of fundamental functional importance: the anti-codon, which is responsible for specific mRNA codon recognition, and the 3' end, to which the tRNAs corresponding amino acid is attached (by aminoacyl-tRNA synthetases). tRNAs cope with the degeneracy of the genetic code in two manners: having more than one tRNA (with a specific anti-codon) for a particular amino acid; and 'wobble' base-pairing, i.e. permitting non-standard base-pairing at the 3rd anti-codon position. The record is from RNAcentral. Lineage: Eukaryota; Fungi; Ascomycota; Sordariomycetes; Sordariales; Sordariaceae.